GUGGUCCCGGGGAUGGAGGGUCAGGUGGUCCCGGGGAUGGAGGGUCAGGCGGUCCCGGGGAUGGAGGAUGACAAAGGGUUAUGGGAUGUCUAGGGCUACUGUCUGUUUCUCAGGUGGUAAUGAUGCUCAUUGCCAUUAUAGUGCCUUAAUGACUUAGUGUGCUGUCUUCUGUGGAGGUUGCUUCCUUACUCCAGGCCUGGCGCAUGUUCAUCUUAGCAAUGUUCAAACUGUCAUCGGUACUAUAAACUACCUGGACUAACGUCCAACAUUGAUGCCACCUGGACUAACAUCCAAACUUUAGCUGCUCAAAAAACAUCAGGCUUUAUCCAACUACAAAUAGAAAUAAUUGUAUUGGACAUCCUUUUCUGAUACUGACCAAUAUUACUCACCAGUUAGUGAAGUGUGAUCAUCAGAGAAACAGAAGAACAAUGUGAAAGGAUGACCAAGCGCCUCUACUAGUUUGAUAUGAAAAAACCUAGAUUCCUUCUAUUCAUCCUAGCUAUCAAAUGUCUUCUCUGGUCCUGCUGCUGGUGAAGUCAGACUUCAUGGGUCCUGCUGGUGAAGGCAGUCUUCAUGGGUCCUGCUGGAAGUCAAGUCAGUCUUCAUGGGUCCUGUUGGAGAUCAAGUCAGUCUUCAUGGGUCCUGUUGGGGGUCAAGUCAGUCUUCAUGGAUCCUGUUGGAGGUCAAGUCAGUCUUCAUGGGUCCUGUUGGAGGUCAAGGCAGUCUUCAUGGGUUCAGCUGGUGAUCAAGUCAGUCUUCAUGGAUCCUGUUGGAGGUCAAGUCAGUCUUCAUGGGUCCUGUUGGAGGUCAAGGCAGUCUUCAGGGGUUCUGCUGGUGAUCAAGUCAGUCUUCAUGGGUCAUUGCAAGUGGUCAAGUCAGCCUUCAUGGGUCAUUGCAAGUGGUCAAGUCAGUCUUCAUGGGUUCUGUGAUGAUCAAGUCAGUCUUCAUGGGUCAUUGCUGGUGAUCAAGUCAGUCUUCAUGGGUUCUGCUGGUGAUCAAGUCAGUCUUCAUGGGUCCUGUUGGAGGUCAAGGCAGUCUUCAUGGGUUCUGCUGGUGAUCAAGUUAGUCUUCAUGGGUCAUUGCAGGUGGUCAAGUCAGUCUUCCUGGGUCAUGCAGGUGGAGUCACCUCUGAUGAAGUGAAAGCGCUGCCGUCAUGUUGGUUAAAGUAAUAUGGUUGUCUCACUACUAAGUACGUGGCUGUGGAUAAGGGAGUCUGCUAAAUGCCUAAAGUGUAUCAAAAAAAUGAUAAAUGUGAAUGUUCAUCGCAGGAUUCAACUGCCAGAAAGUCCAAAAUGGCUAUAUCAUGGAAAUACAAAAAUGUAUAUUGUUUUCCUGUGUGGCUAUGAUUUUAACCAUAUUUAUAGUUAAUAUCUAAUAAAAGC
This is a long non-coding RNA of Esox lucius (northern pike), 1382 nucleotides long. Lineage: Eukaryota; Metazoa; Chordata; Actinopteri; Esociformes; Esocidae. The record is from Ensembl.